RNA transcript from Uranotaenia lowii, 4702 nucleotides. RefSeq lists it as uncharacterized. The record is from RefSeq and is a predicted model, not a curated record. NCBI's taxonomy places the organism in Eukaryota, Metazoa, Arthropoda, Insecta, Diptera, Culicidae. The transcript has 4 exons.
AAUAUUAAUAUUUUUAGGUAUUUAUUCGAAGGAAAAACUUUAUUUGGUAAAGAAGCAUUUUCGUCCAUAAACUUUAAUACAUCUUCUAACAACUUUUACAUCUUUUUUUUAUUCUAAACCUAUUUCCUAAUUCUGCAAUUAUUUUUAAAAUGUCAUGGCUGUACUAAAAGUUGAUUUUGAUUUCUAAGUCUUUAUCAGAAUUUUGUUUUUGGUUUGUUUAUUAAGUGAUGAUCAAACUAACAUCAAAAAGCUAAAUUGCCGCCCGUGGCAUAGAGGAUAGCCUUCCAGUCUUCUAAGCCAACAGUCAUGAGAUCAAAUCCCGGUCACGGCAUACAUAGUACACUUUCUGUGGGUUGGUGGUUUUAGCAUUUAUAAGAUGCUAGCCAUCAUAUCCUCGAAAGAUGUACGCUUAGAGUUAAGUGAAGGGAAUCUCUUCGAGAAAAACGCCAAGUUUCAUUGAGAUCCUGUAUGUGUUUGUGUUCGUUUAAAAAAAAUAUAUAUAUAUUAUGUGUAUAGCACCAAACCGAAUAUCGACAGUAGGACUAGCGACGCUUUUUUACUAGCGAGAUUUCUGUCGUUCGCUGGUUUGUUUUUCUUUUUUUAGUCCAGUAGGCCGAUUUCGAUGUAGUACUCGAAAAUUGUUUAUGUUAUUUGCUGUGAAUUUUCCUUAGGCCAUCAAUCGCAUGCUCCAGGUCUCCUAGGAAACUUGCGGUGCGUCGUUAUUAUUUUCAACGUCGCGACGUAUGCGACGUGUCGCUAGUAGGCAAAGCUGCUAUGAUUAUUAGCGCUCAUAUUUUGGAUUUUUUCUGCAUGCAUUAUAUAUGAGUUGAAAAAAAUCGGUUCGUUGAAAAGUGAAAUACAGUGAAGCAAAGCCAAAGUUAGAUGUAUAUUAUUAUGUAAGAUUUAUAAUUGUUAUGGAAGAUCUGAGAUAGCUAUCAAAACUUUCAUUGGACCCCAGCAUAUUCCUACAUCAUCGGUUGAAUCUAUUCUUGACGAUUCCAAAAAUCCAAGAUACACUGAAAUACAACAAAUCUGUCAAGAAUUAAAAGUAUUUUAAAAAUAUUUUUUUACUGUUUGAAACACUUGAAAUUGUUAUGUUAUGAAAUAUUGAAAAAUUAGAAUAAAUUAUUGACACAACGAAUCAUUAAAAUUGGUUAACAUGUUCGGCCAAGGAACCACAAACAAACUACUAUAAUGUUUAACAUUUCAAAUUUCCAAGUGAAAACUGAGAAUUCAUUCAACAAAUUAAAAUAUCUGUUUAAAAAAAUCAAACAGAUUGAAUUCCAAAUCACUAAUUGUAUAACAAUUUAAAAUAUGAAUUUGUGAUUAGAACUCAUAGAAACAUUGACAGAAGGAUCAAUCUGAAUCUAUAAUAUAUUCGAGACUCAGAGGUUAAGACAUUAUUUUGAAGAUUUCACUAGUAUGGAGAAGAAACAACUUGCAAGGGUUACGAUUUUGAACAGAAUUGAGAAUUUAAACUUAAAUUUUUGUUAUCGAAAAAUAUAAUGUUUGAAACCUUUUUCUUUUAAUUUUAUCGGGAAUCAAAAUAAGAACAAGAGAGCUGAAACGGAAUGCUUGUAAUAAAAAAAAUUUGAAAGAAAUUUUAUAACCACAUUUUAUAGACCAUAUCUCGCGACCGAUUGUAAAGUUUUUUCAAAUUUUGACUUAUUUUUUUCAACCCGUAAAAUGAGCAUUUAUGAAUUAAAAAUUGUUGGUUUAGUUAUUCUAAGGCCCGGAAAAUAUUUAUCUAUUUAAAAUGAUAGUUUUAUGCGCAUAACAAACAAAUGAACCUCUAUGGAUUUUAACGGAUGUUCAAAACCAAAAAAAAAUUAAGGCUUAUUUGUAGAAUUUGAAGAAAAAAUAAUAGUGACAAUCCCUUGUACAGUUUUUCUUUAUAUUAAUUUACAUCUUGUAGUACGAACUUUUAUGAUAUAAAAAUUUCAAUACUUCGUUUUAGUAUUUCAACAGAGCACAUUGUAAGUUUAUUUUAUGUCUGGAAUUAGGUGUUAGAAAAGAAGUGCACCAAAGUUUAAAAUGAUCAAUUUUAUCAGGUUAUAAUGGUAAAUCGCCAAAAUUUGGACAUUUCCUUAAUUUGCAAUUUUUGGCUCUUCUGUUUCAAAAGGUUGCCGACCGCUGCGCUAACCUGAUAGUUACAGGAGAGUUAAAGCUGUUCUUAAAUUUCUUGGUAUAUUCUUACUGCUGUUUUUAAUCUGUGAGUACAUAUCAAAACAGCUAUCAGAAAAGGGGUAGGCUUGAUAGCGGCACGGCAAUAAAAAAUUAGUAAAAUAGAAUUGGCAACGCUUCCAAGACGUUUUCCACCCCAACGAUAUCUUAAGAAACAGAAGCAACAACGUGCCACCCCUUCGUGCGUGUGAGCCACCAAGGAAAGAAAAUCUCAGCUAGCAAGCAACUUACGACCUAGGGGGUGGGUAAUGGCAGCAAGGGGAAAAUUUUACAUCUUAUUUGCCCUUACUCCUUAUAAAAUACUUCGAAAGCGUCGGUAGAAGGAAGAGUAGAGGGAAAACAGCAGCAGGAAAGGAAACUUUUCGCGCACACUCCUUGGAAGAAGCCCGAUUUUUUGUUGCUCUUUGGCACUUCUUGAGUAGCAGCAGCAUAACGCGCGAAGUUUCGUUUUUUUUCGGCUUCUUUCCACUUCGAUCCUUAAAUUUGUAUGAAUGUGUGCGUUCGCGUACAGUUGUGCCUCGGUAAGAUUGUGUGUUCCAAGGCUUCGCAGCAUCCAAUCGCAGAAUUUUAUUUCGGCGCAAAAAUACAGCAACGCAAGUAAGGGUGGGUUUUUCGCCGAGCGUCUUAGAAAUGGUGGAAGUUUUUUUUGUUGGUUGGGUAAGGAAGGAAUUUGCAACCUGCAGGGGUAGAAAAAACGAACCCCCUCGGAAGAACCGGCUUCUUAUCGGGUGUUUCUAGUUAUAUACUUUUCUCUGCUAGGCGGGGGGAAUUUGCUAAGGAUGUUUCUGAGAAGCGAGAAGUUUUGCGUCACGGUAUUGGUUUGAAGAAGUUUUUCUUUCUCUGUUGAGUUAAGAGUUGAGGAUUUUUCGGGGGCCGCUUUUUUGCGCCGAUUCUUUCUGGUACCGAACCUAUAAUAGUAAUAAUUAUAAGAAUCUCUGUUGAGAGUGUAAAUAUGCGAGCGUGAAGAUUAGGCCCAGGCUAGGAGUAAUUUUUGGCUUGGACACAAUGAUGGCAGUUAUUAGGUGCAAUACUCCAACCGUAAACGGUUGUGUUAUGACGGAACAACGGACAACGGUUUUGUAACGGUUUUUUUUUUCAUUCUAAAAAAGAGUGAAUAUAAAAAAAAUAUAUUUAAAGUAACGAAGAAAAAUACAAUGGUUACAUACGUUAGAAAAUGUAAAGCCGUUGAAAAUCGAAUCGAGGCUGUGUUCAAGUCCCUCAGCAAGGACCGACUGUAAGUGCCUUAUUACUUUAAGAACAAAGAGUAAAAGAUAUUAAAAAAUAAUAAUAUAUUGUAACCGCGAAAUAAUGGUGCACAUUACUUGCAACAAUUUCUUCCCCCAAAACACCGGAAACCGGAACUUCGGCCACGUGCUGCUCCCAUUAGGUCAUCACCUGCUGCUGGUAAGUUGAAGGACAUCCUUUGGGAAAUGGACAACAGCGACAACAACAACAACAAUGCUAGAAAUGGUCAGCAGGAAAUUAACAAACACAUCGACGACGAAGCCAAUGCUGAUAGAGGAGCCAGGAUAAUGGUCCCGUGGUGAUGUGGAUGGACUACAACACAACACGAGGAUGAUGAUUAUUGUCUCGGUCCAUUCCGGCUGGAGCCAGAGUCCAGUCCAAUCUAGUCUAGUUGGUGCUUGUCCUUCAGACAUUUCGGGUGCUGGGGGAAGAGGAUAAAUCUUUCAGCGUUGCAUCCGAUGAUGCUGAAGGUCAUUUCAGUGUAGUUUCUCCCUGCUUUAACGGACAGUUGGACCAUUUCGACAAAAGUAGGGUUUGAGGACGCUUACUUCCUAUCAGUGGCAGCAGUGUAGUUCAUUUGAAUGUCCAGUCAGGAUGUUCAACACUUUCCUUCCUGCACUGUGUUUUGCAGUGCCAACCAGUGAAAACUCGGUCAAGUGUAAUGGAAUCAGUUCCGGUCGAUUUCUUGAUGAAUUUCCGUGAAGUUUGUUGAAGCGUUGUGGAAGAUUUUGAAGCAUGGAGUAAAUAGAUAAACCAACUUGCUGGUGAUCUUAUUCUGCAACAUACCUUGUAUAAAACCAAAUAAGUAUUUGAAAGUACAGUGAAAAGAUGAGUUAAAAAAUGCAGCAGAAUUUUUUUUACGACAGUGAAGAAUAGAAAUUUGUAAAGUUAAAACCAAUGAGAGAGACACUUACUGCGAACAGAAGUCACCGUUGGAACUUGAGUUUGGACAUUUGUACGAAACCAACGACGGCUGGGAGGAGCGAUACGAACGACAGGACCACAAAAACCAUCGACAUCAGGGCAAAGUAUUUUAACUUGUUUGGUGACGGUUCUUACAAUGCAGGCUCUCGGAGGGGCAACAAAAAGCACUAUAUCGAGCAGCAUGAGCGCAGCUCCGGAUUGGCACCCGGAGGGGUUUUUCAAAAAAGGGUUAAGUGGGCCGACAAAAAUGGAGGCUUCGGAGAGCACUAUUGGGAUUUGAAUCACGUUGCUUAAGGUCUGCGCAGCAUUCCUCGACCGAGUUAUCAAUAAACGAUUCAAAGGAAUAACA